RNAcentral lists this small nuclear RNA (161 nucleotides) under Chinchilla lanigera (long-tailed chinchilla). RNAcentral describes it as "U1 spliceosomal RNA (ENSCLAG00000020094.1)". It matches the Rfam family "U1 spliceosomal RNA". From Rfam's summary of the family: U1 is a small nuclear RNA (snRNA) component of the spliceosome (involved in pre-mRNA splicing). Its 5' end forms complementary base pairs with the 5' splice junction, thus defining the 5' donor site of an intron. The record is from Rfam by way of RNAcentral. Lineage: Eukaryota; Metazoa; Chordata; Mammalia; Rodentia; Chinchillidae.
AUACUUACCUGGCAGGGGAGUUACCAUGACCACGAAGGUAAUUUCCCAGGGGGAGGCUCAUUCUUUGCACUCUGGAUGUGCUGACCGCUGUGAUUGCCCCAAAUGUAGAAAACUCAGUGCGUAAUCUGUGGCGGUGGGGACUGCGUUCGCGCUUUCCCCUG